This is a non-coding RNA of Ciona savignyi (Pacific transparent sea squirt), 119 nucleotides long. NCBI's taxonomy places the organism in Eukaryota, Metazoa, Chordata, Ascidiacea, Phlebobranchia, Cionidae. The record is from Rfam.
ACUUAUCCCCAUUCCAGAUUGAAUAUACCCGAUCUCGUCUGAUCUCGGAAGUUAAGCAAUCUCGGGCUUGGUUAGUACUUGGAUGGGUGACCGCUUGGGAAUACCAAGUGUGAUAAGCA